RNAcentral lists this ribosomal RNA (468 nucleotides) under uncultured bacterium. Its description in RNAcentral is "partial 16S ribosomal RNA". It matches the Rfam family "Bacterial small subunit ribosomal RNA", at positions 28 to 507 of the family's 1533-position model. The record is from RNAcentral.
GACGAACGCUGGCGGCGUGCUUAACACAUGCAAGUCGAACGGAAAGGCCCUGCUAUGGUGGGGUUUUCGAGUGGCGAACGGGUGAGUAACAGGUGAGUAACCUGCCCAUGACUCUGGGAUAAGUUCAGGAAAUUGGGGCAAAUACCGGAUAGGAGCAUGUGCUGCAUGGAGGGCGUCGGAAAGGUUUGGCGGGUGGGGAUGGACUCGCGGCUGAUCAGCUUGUUGGUGGGGUAGUGGCUUACCAAGGCUUUGACGGGUAGCCGGCCUGAGAGGGUGACCGGCCACAUUGGGACUGAGAUACGGCCCAGACUACUACGGGAGGCAGCAGUGGGGAAUAUUGCACGAUGCGCGGAAGCAUGGUGCAGCAACGCCGCGUGAGGGGUGGCGGCCUUCGGGUUGUAAACCGCUUUCGCCUGUGACGAAGCGUGAGUGACGGUAAUGGAUAAAGAAGCACCGGCUAACUACGUG